AAACAGUUGCUAAGACUGGAUAGGAAAAAUAAGGGCAUCUUUACUUUUUUAAAAGACCUUCUUUGAAGGUAUGCUUAAGGAGGGGCUUGCGACACAUUAGUUAGUUGGCAGGGUAAAGGCCUACCAAGACUAUGAUGUGUAGCUGGACUGAGAGGUUGAACAGCCACAUUGGGACUGAGACACGGCCCAAACUCCUACGGGAGGCAGCAGUAGGGAAUUUUCGGCAAUGGAGGAAACUCUGACCGAGCAACGCCGCGUGAACGAUGAAGUACCUCGGUAUGUAAAGUUCUUUUAUUAAGGAAGAAAAAAGAGUGGAAAAACUCCCUUGACGGUACUUAAUGAAUAAGCCCCGGCUAAUUAUGUGCCAGCAGCCGCGGUAAUACAUAAGGGGCGAGCGUUAUCCGGAAUUAUAGGGCGUAAAGGGUGCGUAGGCGGUUUAAUAAGUCUAUAGUUUAAUUUCAGCGCUUAACGCUGUUGUGCUAUAGAAACUGUUUUACUAGAGUGAGUUAGAGGCAAGCGGAAUUCCAUGUGUAGCGGUAAAAUGCGUAAAUAUAUGGAGGAACACCAGAGGCGUAGGCGGCUUGCUGGGACUUUACUGACGCUGAGGCACGAAAGCGUGGGGAGCAAACAGGAUUAGAUACCCUGGUAGUCCACGCCGUAAACGAUGAGUACUAAGUGUCGGGUAAAACCGGUACUGAAGUUAACACAUUAAGUACUCCGCCUGAGUAGUACGUACGCAAGUAUGAAACUUAAAGGAAUUGACGGGACUCCGCACAAGCGGUGGAUCAUGUUGUUUAAUUCGAAGAUACACGAAAAACCUUACCAGGUCUUGACAUUUUCUUGCGAAGUUAUAGAAAUAUAAUGAAGGUUAUCAGGAAAACAGGUGGUGCAUGGUUGUCGUCAGCUCGUGUCGUGAGAUGUUAGGUUAAGUUCUAAAACGAGCGCAGCCCUUGUCGUUAAUUGCCAGCAUGUAAUGAUGGGGACUUUAACGAGACUGCCAAUGAAAAAUUGGAGGAAGGUGGGGAUUACGUCAAAUCAUCAUGCCCUUUAUGAUCUGGGCUACAAACGUGAUACAAUGGUUGAUACAAAGAGUAGCUGAAACGCGAGUUCUUAGCCAAUCUCACAAAAUCAAUCUCAGUUCGGAUUGAAGUCUGCAACUCGACUUCAUGGAGUUGGAAUCGCUAGUAAUCGCGAAUCAGCAUGUCGCGGUGAAUACGUUGACGGGGUUUGUACACACCGCCCGUCA
This 1246-nucleotide ribosomal RNA is filed under the name Cauliflower stunt phytoplasma. RNAcentral's name for it is "bacterial SSU rRNA". It matches the Rfam family "Bacterial small subunit ribosomal RNA", at positions 154 to 1399 of the family's 1533-position model. Lineage: Bacteria; Bacillati; Mycoplasmatota; Mollicutes; Acholeplasmatales; Acholeplasmataceae. The record is from RNAcentral.